GGCGCGGUAGCUCAGGCGGUUAGAGCGACGGACUCAUAACCCGUAGGUCGGUGGUUCGAGCCCACCUCGCGCCACCA
This 77-nucleotide transfer RNA is filed under the name Candidatus Dormiibacterota bacterium. RNAcentral describes it as "tRNA-Met". It matches the Rfam family "tRNA". From Rfam's summary of the family: Transfer RNA (tRNA) molecules are approximately 80 nucleotides in length. Their secondary structure includes four short double-helical elements and three loops (D, anti-codon, and T loops). Further hydrogen bonds mediate the characteristic L-shaped molecular structure. tRNAs have two regions of fundamental functional importance: the anti-codon, which is responsible for specific mRNA codon recognition, and the 3' end, to which the tRNAs corresponding amino acid is attached (by aminoacyl-tRNA synthetases). tRNAs cope with the degeneracy of the genetic code in two manners: having more than one tRNA (with a specific anti-codon) for a particular amino acid; and 'wobble' base-pairing, i.e. permitting non-standard base-pairing at the 3rd anti-codon position. The record is from RNAcentral. Lineage: Bacteria; Bacillati; Candidatus Dormiibacterota. RNAcentral also lists the same sequence under 2 other names.